GAACUUGACUCCCCCACUGCUCUGGCGGAACACGAAGCCCGCUGCGUCCUAUCUCGAAGCCAUGAACGGCGGCUUGUGCCUGUGUGUGCUGAUGGCGGUCCUGGCGGCAGGCACCCUGGCGCAGCCGGUGCCUCCCGCGGACUCCGCGGUCCCCGGGGCACAGGAGGAGGAGGCGCACCGGCGGCAGCUGAGGGCGGUGCAAAAGGUAGACGGCGAGUCCCGAGCGCACCUGGGUGCGCUGCUGGCCAGAUACAUCCAGCAGGCUCGAAAAGCCCCCUUUCCUUCCUCUCUGCCCCAUGUAGCACCUUCUGGCCGAGUAUCUAUGAUUAAGAAUCUGCAGAGCCUGGACCCCAGCCACAGAAUAAGUGACCGGGACUACAUGGGCUGGAUGGAUUUUGGCCGGCGCAGUGCAGAGGAGUAUGAAUAUACCUCCUAGAAGACCCCGCCUUGGUCAGCGCCACUGGAAGCCACCUCCUGACUCAGAGGAGGCAGAAGAAAACAAUCACACUCACAACUCUGGUCUCUGACGUCUGACAUUUAAAGUAUCUAUUUAUUAAGUUUUCAAUGUGAAAAAUCUGUCUGUAACAUUGUCCAAUGCAACCACGCACCUCAACAAAAAUGUACAAAUGGAAGAUAAAAUGUUUCCCUCAUCUGUGACCCCUGGUGUGAAAGUGUCCCUAUGCUAUUAAAGUGAUUUUGUUCUGCCCCUUGUUCCCCUUGUCUGCCAAGGGCAAAGGAUCCAUGUAGUCCUCGGAACAUUCAAAGAAGGGUUCCUGAUGUACCGGGCCCAGGGAUGAAUCCCUGUGGUACAUGGUCCCAGAAAGGGCCUGAGAAAUGAGGGUCGGGCAUAGAGCUGGCUCCCUGCUGCAGGCCAGGUUGCCAGUGUCAGCUGCACAGUCCCCCUGGCCCCCCUGGGCCCCAGUGGGGCUCCAUUGCAAAAAAGAACCAGGCUAGCUUGUAAUGGGCACUCGUUUGUCUGGGUGAAGCCAAGAGAGGCAGUUGGGAAUGGAGUCUUCUAUCUGCCCAUCCCCAUGAGUUGUCCUCAUCUGCUAACUCCAUCCCAUACCAGGGUUUCUCUAGGAUUCUUUUGGCCUUUGAACAAAUUAUGGGGCGGCACUGGUCUUGAGGGCGUGUUGCUCCUAGGUUAGUGUGACCUCUGUUGGCAUGUCUCAGAUUCUGGAGUAGGUAUGAAUCACCUGGGAAUCUUGUUAAACCACAUGUUCUAACUCAGUGGCUCUGGGCUGUGGCCUGAGCAAGCCCCUGGGUGAUGUCUGGCCCUGGACCACACUUGAAGACAGGGCAGUGUAGAGAAGAGUCUGUGAUUACAACCGCUUGCAUCUCAUCGUAUUCCAGAGACGUAUUACAGGGUGCGGGGGCCAGGUGGCGGGAGAAGGGGGGCCCUCUGGUAGUGAGCCAGGGCAGAAGCUCUCCUUUCAUUGUCCGACCCUCUGCUGGGUCUCCACAGGGAUCAGCAAAGAGGGCAAGUUCAAGGAUGAUCUAACACUAGUUACCACAGAGCAGCCUUUCUGUGCCUUGUGGCUGAGGCCUCUGGGAAUCCUGGGUUCUUACAUAGCAAAGGCCCCAGGUGGCUCAAUGCAACAGGACCUGCAGCCCCAAAGGGGACAGACAUGGGAGAGAAUGGUAGUCAGUUCAGUUUUCAAGAAGUCAUACUGCUUUUUGGUUCCACAUCAGUUGUGGAUCACCCAGGGACCAGUCUGGGAAGUGGAUGAUGGUCUGUGUAUUGCUUCAGUUCUCAAUGUCUUUGAUAUGCUAAUUAGGACCAGAUUCAUGCAUGCAGGGCUGGGGGUGAGCCUCGGAGUUCGGAGUUCGUGAUCAACUAUAAGGGGUAGCUUUCCCAAGCUCCUCCCUCUCUGCAACCUCCCUAGUACUUUCCAGCUCCCUGGUGCUUCCCUUUUGGAUCUUCCACCCCAAAUCUUGGGGUUCUGAUUACCCUGUUCUGCCACACAAUCCUAUGUUUGGGCCCAAGUGCAGGUCCAAGUAGCAGAAGAACAGAGAAUAAAAAAAGCAAUGGGGGUUGACCCCAGCAUCUUAGGAUCACAGGUCCUCUGAUCCAAGAGCAAGAUUCCCCUUCCUCAGAGUUUCGGCUCUGGCCAGUCUCAUGACUGACUCACCACUGUGGCUAUGUGUUUGCCUGGGGACUAUGGCACAGAAGAAAAAGAAGAAAGAAAAAAACUAGGGAAGGUUCAUGGUCUCUGGCCAUUAGGAAUUCCUUUUUUUCACUCCUUCAGCUAGAACUUAAGCGCAGCUCCUGGAGCUCUCUGUGCCCCAGACCCCACUGCUAGUCUUCAGCCGUGUCUAGGUUCAAGGAAGGCCCCCCUGCCCCAUGGCCUUUAGGAUUCCCUCUUGUUUCCUCUCUGCUUGCCAGGGCCUGGUAGUUUCUGCUGGAACUCUAGAAUCUUCAUAAACUAUUUCAAGACAUGGCUAAAAUUUAAAAACCCAGUCAUUCAUGAUAUCAGGCUAUUCUCUAGGAGUGGGUGGCUUAUUUUAUUAUCUUAAACUUGAAUCCUUUUAUAUGAUUCCCACCAGGCUUCUGGUUUGAAAAAAUCUCAAAAGAGUGGAAGAGUGACCAAGGAGUGGGAUGUUUCAUUGAAUCGAGCUGCAAGACUAGCAGGUUUUCUACCUUCCCUUCCCCCUGGCUCACAUGCACAUAGAAGCAGGUAGAACUGGCAAGAGUUCAAGCCUUACCUACCCUAACACCUCUGGAGUCACAGCCAGAGCGACUCCAAUGUGUUGGAUCAUUUUUAAAGUUCCAUUCUGGAAAGCAUUCACCUGCUCUCUUGUAUCAACUUGUGGGGAGCCCUCCCCUGGUUCAAUGACAUACAGGGAAAUGCACCUGAGUGUCAGGCACUGUGCUGAUGCGGUGAGUAUAGCCACAAAGAGCCCAAGUGGGAGAUUCACAAAAUCGUGGUUUGAUGUUCCAAGAAUGAUGGCAGGUAACAGGCAGAGGCAGAGAGAGAGAACAGAGCAGCUGCCUGAAUUAAGGGGCAAGGCAGCCAAGCAGCUGCCCUGGGGUGCCAGUCUCCAAGGGACACCUAAGCACCACUGCAGCUAAUUGGAAUCCUGGUGUCAGUGAAUUUCUUCAUACUUAGUAACUUACCUAACUGAAGAAAUGAGCAUUAAUUCCUCCCCUGUAGAAGACGACAAUGACCUCAAGUAAAGAGUUUUUGCUGUUGUUUUUUAAACCACACCCCUAUGGGAGCCAGCUUCUCUGCACAGAGAAAUAGCUGUGCACACAUGUUCACACGUUGAAGCUGCAGGAUUCAGACCCACUUCUCCUUGCCAACCUGCUGGUUGUCCUACCCAGUCUGCUGAAAUUUUAAAACCAGAUAAUUCAGGAUCUGAGACUGUUUAUUUUGAGUGGAUAAUUUAUUUUAUUUUAAUGUUAGAACUUUAAUAUGGUUGCCAAAAGGCUCCCGGGCUUGGAAAAUCAUCCAAUGAAACUGAAAAGAGAACAAAACUCACUGACAAGUGAGAUGCUCUUUGUAGAAUUAAAACCAAGAGGGAAAAAAAAGAACACUUACGUGUAUUUUGAAGACAACUUGGUAACUAUGGUUACCUCUAAUUAGUGAACACCUUAUGCUGUCUAGAUUUGAGUGGAGGAAAACUGAAAUGAAAAACAAUUCCAAAUUAGUAAAAAUGUUAGGUUCCACUGAGUGCGUGUAAUGUACUUUUGAAAUGUAAUUUAACAUCUAUUGAAUCUAGUAAUUAAAAAGUUGGUCUUGG
RNAcentral lists this long non-coding RNA (3744 nucleotides) under Sus scrofa (pig). RNAcentral describes it as "lncRNA (ENSSSCG00040045916.1)". The record is from RNAcentral. Lineage: Eukaryota; Metazoa; Chordata; Mammalia; Artiodactyla; Suidae.